Non-coding RNA from Oryctolagus cuniculus (rabbit), 2608 nucleotides. The record is from RefSeq and is a predicted model, not a curated record. Lineage: Eukaryota; Metazoa; Chordata; Mammalia; Lagomorpha; Leporidae.
CUGCCGCGGCUUCCUCCUCCUCCUCCUCCUCCACCCUCGGAGCCGGGUCGCGGAGUCGGGCCGGGGCUGGGGAGGAGGAAGUUGCGGCGCAGCUGGGACAGCAGCAGGUGGGAAGCGCCGCGGCCGGGACUUCCGCGGCCGCCUAAUUGCUGCCUGGCGGGCGGCGAAGCUGCCUGCCCUUCCCGGAGCCUCACGCGUCGCCGUUUCUGCCCUCCUCGGUGGCGACUGGUGCGGGGCAGGCUCCGCGCAAGGGGCCUGCGAGAUGCCAGGGCCCGAGCGAGGGUCGCGCUUCAGCCCGGGCGCGCCUCUCCCCCUCCUCUCCCGCCCCCUCCAUCCUGACACCGCUCCGCAGCCCCAGCCCCGGCCCCGGCCCCAGCCCGGCGAAACCCCACCUGCGGCUCGCCCAGGAGCCGCUCCCUCCACGGGGAACGCAGCGUUCCCGGGAUCCUCACGGGGCGUGGGCGAUCCGGGGUGGCAGCCGCGAGGCCUCUAGGCGAUGGCGGGGCGGAGGUGGGUGACUUACGGGGCUCUCCCGCGGGCGAGCGGCUCGUCCCCUCUCGCCCUGUCCGCCCGCCGCCGUCUCCCUCGCCACCGCCGCCCGGGCACGCUCUGUGGAUCUGAAAUCGGAGCGCUCCGAGAGCCCUGAACUCCCUGCAGCAGCAAAACUCCUACAGACUCCGCGCUCUGCCCUCGCCCCCAGCAGCCAGGCAGGAGCGUGUCGCCCCCAGCCCCGCCAAAAACAGAAGCAAAACUAGACAAAAACCCACGCUGCUGAGCUGAGUUAGCCGGGCGUGGACCCUGGAACUUUAUGAAUUAAUCCUUGCACGUGUGUAAAUCAAGGCGCGUGCUUUGGGGUCACAACGAAGCUUUGCUCCGUAAGGACGGGAUAUGUUGGGAGUUUUUUUUUUUUUUUUCCACGCAAUUUGCAUUCCCGGUAAUUUUUUUUUUUUUAAUGUCUGUUUCCUCAAGCGAUCUAAUAAGGCCUUCGGGCAGCUGAUAAAGUUCUCCUUGAGUGAUCCAGCUACUUGGACAAAGCAGCUUGUACUCCGGGCGGCACAGCCCGGCGGGUGUUUGCGUGUGGGAGACGCGAGAGUGACAAGGCGAGCAGCCGUUCUGCGCGGGUACCCACCUCCUAGGCUCGUAUCCUCACGUGGCCCCUAGGAGGUGCUGGUGAAAUGUGCUGAGGUUUUGCAAAGAUGAACUUACCCGUGCGUUAGCAAGCUUGCCUCUUCUCCUAGCCGUGAGCAAGAUGCUGAAAUCGAGAGGCUCCUGGAGCAGGUCGUGCACGCGCUGUGGCUGCUCUGAGAGCCCAGUGGGUCGCUAUUCCAGCCCAUUUGUCGGGAUUUUCAGCACGCCCAGCCCCGUUGCUAGCGGAGAUGGCUAAGGAUCUUCCAACCGUUGUGCCCGGAGGAAGGAGCGCUCCCCUAACCCCUUUCCAGGCAGAGUGGACAGUGAGAGAGAGAGACAGAGAGAAAGGUCUUCCUUUUGCCGUUGGUUCCGGAGCGCUGCGACCGGCGCACCAUGUUGAUCGAUGGCAGGAGCCAGGUACUUCUCCUGGUCUCCCAUGGGGUGCAGGGCCCAAGCACUUGGGCCAUCCUCCACUGCACCCCCGGGCCACAGCAGAGAGCUGGACUGGAAGAGCGACCAGGACAGAAUCUGGCGCCCCAACCGGGACUAGAACCCAGUGUGCCGGCACCUCAAGGUGGAGGAUUAGCUUAGUGAGCCGCGGCGCUGGCCCUUGUUCUUUACUCUUAUAAAGUGAGGGAUCCACAGACCCUGAGAAGAAAGAGAAGAAAUGUAACGGAGCAGCUGGAACAUUAGUGUGACUGCCGGUUCUUCCUCCACUGCGUCUGGCUGCAGCCCUGACAACUUAUCUUUUCUUCUGUUUUAUUUUCUUUCUUAAUAUGAUUUCUCUAAUCUCAAUUUUAAUUUAAAAGGAAAUAGAGAUGUAGAAAUUAUGUUCCAGGAAACCUCCUUACCUAAGUGGAAGCUAAAGAUACGGAUUCUCAGUCUGCUGAUUCCAAAUCCAAUGUCCCUGCAGGGUAUUCCAGUAGCUUUUCAUAGCAGCUCUGUGCAGGUGCAUCUAGAAACCCAGGGCAGGAGCUGUAUUUUUCAGAACCAUUUACUAAUUCCUCCUAAAUUACUUUUUCUUCUGAUUUUAAAAUGUAUAAACCCUGACUUCAGAUCCUUGCAAGGGACACAGUUUUAAAUGUUUGGCUCCAUUCCCAUACUUCCCUGUGGGAAAAUUUCUUCCAUUUUUUAAAAAUAAAUGUGAUCAAUAUCUGCGGAUUUGAUUGGACUUUUCCUCUGUCUUUGAAUAGUUUCCAUUUUGUAAGCACACAUCCUCAACUGAUGAUUAAUUCUAGUCUUCUGAUAUAUGUUUGUUCUAAUAUUUAAAGACCUUGUGGAUAAUUCACAAAUAAAUAAAGCUUUUAGUACAACUAUGAGAAAAUAAAAUGCAGAAUCACAGAAUCCGACUACCACCAAUAACAUUAGUGAUUAAUGGUAACACAACAUUAACAGCAUUAUAUGGUUAUUAAAAGAAGAUACAAAUUAUUUAUGUCACCGCUUAUUUUGUAGGUGCUUAGUUAGAUACUUUUAUGUACUU